This 330-nucleotide ribosomal RNA is filed under the name uncultured bacterium. RNAcentral describes it as "bacterial SSU rRNA". It matches the Rfam family "Bacterial small subunit ribosomal RNA", at positions 568 to 898 of the family's 1533-position model. The record is from RNAcentral.
UGCGUAGGCGGCUUUUUAAGUUUGGUGUGAAAUCUCCCGGCUCAACCGGGAGGGUGCGCCGAAUACUGAGAGGCUAGAGUGUCGGAGAGGUAAGUGGAAUUCCUGGUGUAGCGGUGAAAUGCGUAGAUAUCAGGAGGAACACCGGUGGUGUAAACGGCUUACUGGACGAUAACUGACGCUGAUGCACGAAAGCGUGGGUAGCAAACAGGAUUAGAUACCCUGGUAGUCCACGCCCUAAACGAUGCAUAUUUGGUGUGGGCCAUUCAUUUGGUCUGUGCCGGAGCUAACGCGUUAAAUAUGCCGCCUGGGGAGUACAGUCGCAAGGCUGAA